Molecule: unclassified non-coding RNA, 1678 nt
Filed under: uncultured fungus
Lineage: Eukaryota; Fungi
Description: sequence contains 18S rRNA gene, ITS1, 5.8S rRNA gene, ITS2, 28S rRNA gene
Rfam family: Eukaryotic large subunit ribosomal RNA (bases 580-1678)
Source: RNAcentral
GGAAGGAUCAUUAUCGUGAUAUCCAUACCAACCCUUGUGAACUGUGAUGUCGUGUGGGAUGUGCCAAGAUUCGUUUUGGUACCGCCUUUAUCGGUGAUGAGCAAUCAUUCAUCGACACACGUGUUUUGUGAUUCUAUACACGUUUUAUACCGCUUCUGAGCACCGCGAUAUCUGAUGUAUCGCGUCUUUAAAGCAACUAAAACUCUUGACAGUGGAUAUCUUGGCUCUCGCAACGAUGAAGAACGCAGCGAAAUGCGAUACGUAGUGUGAAUUGCAGAAUUCAGCGAAUCAUCGAAACUUUGAACGCACAUUGCGCUUGUGUGCUUCGGCACCGAGCAUGCCUCUUUCAGGGUCAUCGACUUACAUCUCACCCCCUUUGCAUUCGUGUAAUUGAGUGGAAUGGUGAAUGGGUGUCCUGGCGCACGGUUCGUCCGAGCAACCACGUCACCUGAAGCACAUGGCCAUAAAGGACAACGCCCUUUGUGUGGCUCGACGCAGUAAGAGCACAUUUGUGCACUCUCGUCGUAGCACGGCGCAGUUUCAGCAUGGCGAUCCGCUUGAAUAAAGCCAUAUCCGGUUUGACCUGAAAUGAGGUAGGGCUACCCGCUGAACUUAAGCAUAUAAUUAAGCGGAGGAAAAGAAACUAACAAGGAUUCCCCUAGUAACGGCGAGUGAAGCGGGAAGAGUUCAAGCCUAAAAUCUCCGGUGUUCCACUGGCGAAUUGUAGUCUAUGGGUCAUGUGUGCGUGAGGUACCGGGGGUAAAUUCCUUGGAAUGGGAUCCUACAGAGGGUGAGAGGCCCGUAUGUACCCCGUGUGCCGAACUUCAGUCAUGCAAGGCCUCAGAGUCGGGUUGCUUGGGAGUGCAGCUCUAAGUGGGAGGUAAAUUUCUUCUAAAACUAAAUACGGGCGAGAGACCGAUAGCGUACAAGUACCGUGAGGGAAAGAUGAAAAGGACUUUGAAAAGAGAGUUAAAAGUGCUUGAAGCUGUCAAGGGCUAACCGCAUGGGAAGAGCGUAUGGUUUUGCUGACACUUAGGGCUGAUGGUGUGUGCUGGCGGCGGGAGUAGGGUCAAACCGCUCGUGCCGAUUGUUGCAUAUCGUUGGCUUGCACUUGUCUGCUUGACCGGUCAAGCUGGCUUCUAUGCCGGUGGGAAAAUGGCUAAAGUGCGCGGCGUUAGCUUGCUAGCGUCGGUCUUGGCUGAUACCGCCGGAAGGAGUGAGGAAUCAAGCGUUGUCAUCGCCGCUGCGGUCGGCUGUUUCGCUAGAUGGUGUAGCACUGCCUCUGGUAUGUGUUGCGUCGUCUAGCAGAGCACUCCGGCUGAACAGGGACUUGCUCGCUGAGGAGCUUGACUUGAUCUUUCCAUUCGACCCGUCUUGAAACACGGACCAAGGAGUCUAACAUAUAUGCGAGUGUUUGGGUGGCAAACCCAUGCGCGGAAUGAAAGUAACUGGGUGGGAUCCCGUUUGGGUGCACCAUCGACCGACCAUGAUCCUUGUGUGAAAGGUUUGAGUAAGAGCAUAUCUGUUGGGACCCGAAAGAUGGUGAACUAUGCCUGAGCAGGGCGAAGCCAGGGGAAACUCUGGUGGAGGCUCGCAGCGAUACUGACGUGCAAAUCGUUCGUCAAACUUAGGUAUAGGGGCGAAAGACUAAUCGAACCAUCUAGUAGCUGGUUCCCUC